Pseudopipra pipra is the source of this 6206-nucleotide long non-coding RNA. RefSeq lists it as uncharacterized. NCBI's taxonomy places the organism in Eukaryota, Metazoa, Chordata, Aves, Passeriformes, Pipridae. The record is from RefSeq and is a predicted model, not a curated record. The transcript has 2 exons.
GAAGAAUAUGAAGCACAAAAAACAGUUGUGUUCACAGGUUGACAUCCACCAUCUCUCUUCCUUUGCACCAUCUUCUCUCUUUGUCAAGAGCGACACAGCAUGAAAGGGGAGAAAGAUGUGCUGAGGCUGCAGUAAGCUCUCAGUGUCUCCUACCCCCUUUCCCCUCUUCUGCUGUACACACCUCUCCUUUCAUAGUGUUUUGAGUGGAGCAGUGGAUCACAGACUGUUAUUAGGAAAAGGAUCUUGCCAUUAUAGACCCAUCUCCGAGAUUACCAAUAUCCCUUGCAUCUGCAGAACUGGGUAGGGAAAUUCGUAAGAAUGUGUUUUUUCACUGAGAGAUUUUUGGAGACACCUUCCUAUCAAGAUGUAGUACCUGAUUAUAAAAUGGCUCCCUCCAAAGCGAGUAUCUCCCAGUCAACUUCCCCAAAAUUUAAGGCAGGGAGGAAGGGAAAAAGCAAUGAUUUCAAGUUAUCUGAACUCUUUUUCAAGUCACUUAAAUUGUUUGCAGGCUCAGACUAGCAUGGGGGAUGAGUGGAGGUUGUGCUGGAUGCCUGUUGCAUUCAAAUAAAUUGCUCCUCUCCCCAGAGCCCCAUCUCUUGUGUGCAGCCAAAUCAUGUGUGUUUGCAGGAGACAGUAUGCUUGUGUUUCUCCCACGACCCUGCUGGCUCAUUAGUGUUAUUUCUGGAGGUCUAGUUUCCACAGUAACAAGCAAUUACCAUUGUUCCUUGGACUGCCAAAGUUACCACCAGCAACGCAGAGGAAGAUGCGUUAUUCUCUAUAUUGGGAUAAAAUGCCUUCAUAUGUCUUGCUAUUCACUGAAUGCCAAUCUUGACGCAGGUCCUGUGCAAAUAGCACACUCCACCCCCUGCCAAUGCUGCUUUUCCUGGUAUUAAGACAUGCCAGAUUUUGAAACGAUCCAAAAUGAUCUCCUCUGGUCUGUGGCUACACUGGCAACGACAGGGUCAGGAUUUCAGCAGCAGGAUGACUGUACCAAUGGGUAGGAAUAUAAAUAGAAUAGCUUGGAGGCAGUUCUUUUUGCAAUUGUGCUUAGCCCUGUUCUAAGUAAUGCUGGCUAGUGACGUCAAUGAAAUAUAUACUCUCUGUCUUUACCCUAUAGCUUCUACCAGUACUGUGGUGGAGCUCCCACAUAGGAGUCUGGUGGUCUUAUGUUAGCAGGAUCUGUGUCUGUGCUGCACAAUCCUUCAUCAUCCCCAAGGGGCAAUGUGUGUGCAUCAGCUGCACCCAUUUCUUCCAUCAGUGGUUUCUCCUUUCCCUUUUACCUAUACAUUUCACACAGACUGAUUCAUCUAGAAUGGCCUUUAAACCCCAUAGAACAUAUCCUGAAUUUCAUGCACAUAUCAAAAAAGUAAGCAGCUGGGAAGCUGAAGGAAUGCUAGCUUUUGCAGGCUAGAGAAGUGGGGUACUGGAACGCUGGGACCACUAGAUUAGGUUUCAUGGCUUGGAGAGUUUUUAUGGCUUUCAGUGACUCCAGUUUCCAAGUGUGACUACAUAUUCUUAAAAGCUCUGGGGCCCCACUGUAAGCUCUGAGCUCCUCUUCACAGGCUUUUCUUGUGAAUGGGUGUAUCUAUGGAUCUACAUAUACACACCCACUUGCCCAAAUGACUAAUAGUAGGUGUUGGAGGGAGAACACAGCCUUUAGCCUCCAUAAACCAAAGCACAAAGUCUUCCUCCAACGAAGCUGAAGCAAAGAGAUCAAGAGAGGCAUUUUAAAACUGAGGAACUGCCUUUUGUGAAAGGUCUUGGAAACACCUGCACUGGAGAUUUUUAAAACCUGGACUUACCAGAGAAGGUAGAAGACAGUAUCCUAUCAGGUCACUGUAUGAGUGUAGGAGGGUGACAACAAACAAAAAGGGUGCUGCUUUGACAGCUACCAAAAUUGUACUGCUUUAGAUGCCCUUGAGGAAAUAAAACACCAACAGCAAACAUACUGUCUUUUCAUGGGUUGGAGAAAGGGAUAGGCAGAGACAAUUGGUGAUAGGGUCCUUGAUUCCUUUUUCUGAUUAAAGUCCCACCAAGUCUGUGAAAUGAAGGUGGAAGAAGGAGUCAAACACAACUGGAAAAAAAGGGCAUGUAUGUCACAUAUCCAUUUUAGAGGCCAGGCCUAAUUUUUAAGUAUCUCUUAAUUAGUAGGACUGAAGUGUUAGAGUUAUUCUGUUUUCUUGUGGGCUUACCACUGAGUGAAGGCAUCAUCAGAGAAAGGUUAAGAAAAUAGCCUUGGGCAUAUGAGAGCGGUCCUAUCUAAUCCAACAAGCUUCUCUUCUCCUCUUUUCUGUUGCAUCCUCCUAAACCUUUGAAUUUUAGCACAGUCUGUACGAUGGGGAACAAAUAAAUAAAUUUUAAUAACCUUAUUUUCCACACAUAAACCAGAAUCUGGUGUUUAGUUCUAGGUGACAGCUUGGGUGGUUCAAAAUGAGCCGAGGCUUGGCUUGGUAUUUUAAGGAAAAUACUCCCAUCUCAAAAAUAAUCUAAGCCUAAUCUCUUUAUCUGUGAGCUCCAGGGCACCCACUGGCAUCUCACCCUUGCGGUGGGGUGGUGUGCCGAGCUGGCCGACAGACACUAGGUGGAAGCCUUGGGCUGCGGUUCCAUCGCAGCUGCUGACGGCAGGAAGAAGACUUGUGCUUUCAGAAAGGAGAUAUUUUUCUUUUCUUCUUGCUUUCACGUACUAGAAAGGGAAGUCCAAGCUCUCCAGGUGCGCAAUGGGUGAACGGAGGAAUGGAGGAGAAGUGUCAGUCUCAUCCCGGGUCCUCCCUGCAACAGGAUCUUUGCAAUGACUUCAAGAGCUCCAUGGCUGUUCUGCAGACAGAUGCACAAUUGUGAAACAUCAAUAUGGACUGCAAAUCUCUACUGUCAGUCAGCUCCUCUUUCCCUCUGCAUAACGUAAUCCCUAUCUCCACAAUGCCUGCACAGAUACACAUUUGCAAAGAUGUUUUUCUGGAGAUAGUGUGCAUAGCAAACAUUCCCUUACUUGUUCUCAUUUCUAGCAACAUUAUAUGGAGUUUCAGUUCACAGUUCACUGUGUUCCACCUCCUACCACUGAAAUGCAGCCAACUCUGAGCUGUGGCUAUUAAACAUCACACGAGCAACACCACAAAACAGAUUGUGCAAAGCAAAGGAAUUCAGAGAAAAGCAACAAAUUGAGUGAGGUCUGGAAAGGCUAUGUGGGAAGUGAUAACAAAGGAUCAUAGGGAAUGAAUUAAUUGUGAUGCAGAAUAGCCAUCACCGUGAUGUUCAGGUGAUACCAGUAUGCAAGGGUGAGUUUUUGAGGGUGGCACAAAGAGAUGUUACUAGGAGCAACCAGGUUUCAACCAGGGAGACAAACAGGUCAGCUUCCCUAACCACUGAGUUUUGUCAGACUGCCAGACUCCCAAGGAAAGGGCUGCAGGCAUCAUUGCUUGGGGGUUUUAAAACUGGUCCUAGUCUCAAGACAGGACAAGGCACUAUCAGGACAGAUGAAUAAAACAAGAUGGAGCAAGUAGCCGUACCUAUCCCCACUUUGUAUGAGUCUGAGAAAACAACUGGGAGAAAGAUGGCAAGGUCUGAAGGAAUCACAUGUAGAGAGUUAGAAAACAGUGUGAACUGGUGUGACAGUAGCUGUGACGUGGCCAGGAAAAAGCUUCCAAAGGCAGUGCUCUUCUUUGACAACAUGAUGACCUUAGAGUGAGAAAGGAUGAAAAAGAGGAAGAUGUGCAACGAAUCAGAGGAAAGAGAAACGUGUGAAUGUAUGUAGCUGUUUAUGUGUGUGUGUAGCACAAUAGGAAUUUCAUUCAGAUAGAAUAAAGCAUUGUAGGUGUCUGUAUCUUUUUUUCCCUAGACUAAAGGCUGCAAGAGGGCACCUUGGCACAAAACUUGCACGUGAAUUCUUGCUGCUUUAGGUAAAAUCAUGAUUGGGGAAGGUUGCCAGACACUGUCACUGAGCAUUCAAUGGACAACUAAGAAGCAACUGCAAAAGUCUGUUCCCAACUCAAGUUGCAUAGCAACAGUAAAUCGUCAGAUUGCUGUUAUGUCAGUCCCUUACAUUAUCCCCAUUAUUACAGCCAUUUUUAGGAAUCACGCAAUAUGAUGUUACUAGCCCACUCCCAACCUGCAUGUUUGACCUUUGUCUCUUGUUGAAUUAUGCCAUGUAAUUUGCUGCAAAGGUGUCUUGAAGUAGCAUACUGUAGAGAAAAAUCCCUGAGGAUCCAUCAACAGAGACCUUAGGGAGCAAAGGAUGUGCAUGUGCAGGAUGGGGCAGGAGAGACAGAUUAGGGAACAGCAAUAUCCUCAGAGAAAUCUAAUGCCUGUCAAACUCGUCAGGAUGUAUGUUACCCCAUCACUUCUCUGAACUGAGUCUUCAUUGAUCAAAUUGAAAGGCUAUUUUGAGAAGUGAGCCACAGUUGCUCCUAAGAUAUGUGUUUCAAAUGCUUCCAGUGCACACUUAUGCUUGGUGUUUGGAUAACUCCUGUGGACAUUGAUGCUGUGAAAUCCUAAGUUCCAGCCAGCUGUUUCCUGCUUUUCAAGGUAAGCACCUUGUGAGCUGUUUCAUGGUGGAGAUGCUGAAGCACAAAAGUAGUCACAACAUAAUCAUCCUGUGAUGUUUCAGACACCGCCAGUAUCUGAAACAAUAUCUAGAAGUCUACUUGUCUUGCAGGAUAUUUCUAGUAUCCUGCACAAUUUCUUUCCUGGAUGUCCUGUGUAGCACAGCAUCCUCCUCCCUUUUUCACUCUAUUGCUGCUUCUUUUGCUGGCACAAGGUCCUGAAAUGCCCCUGCCAUUUCUUUGCAACCAAGGCAACCAGGAUCACUGGAUACCAAGGUGUAGCUGGUGUUUGAAUGAUGAAAAUAAACUGAAUGAGUUCCUUUACUGCAAACGCCAGACUGACAUGGACUUAGGACACCAGGUAGAGUGAAAAGUAACUUAGAGGCCUCUUACACUAGAUGAUAGGGGAACAGCCUGCUUAAGGAAGUAAUUCUCAGUAAAGUAUCUCCUUUCUGAAGAGUGCCUAGUUGUAAACUAUACCAGCAUUUACAAGAUCCCCACUGCAAAUUAUGAACAAGCAAACAGACUUCAGAAGGACAAGAUAGACUGCCUGUCCCCUCUGUAUAGAGUAAUGGAAUUAUUCUGCUUCAUUAAAACAACUGAUGAGAAAACAAGGAGCCUCAAGAUUCAGUUCCUCUAUGUUUCUGUGCCCAGAAUGCAGAGCGCACUAAUGGCAGAACACCUGGACUAGGAGCUGCAAGUCGCUCUUGCUUGGUAUUAAGGGGAUUGAGCUCGGACGAGGUCUAACACAGCAGAUGAUAAAUGUCCAUGCAUGACAUUGCUAAAAGAGAUCUGAUGGCCAUGGAGUUACCUUUGACAAAGGAACAUCUCUUGAAUGCAAAAUAGCUUAGCAAUCCUUACAAAGAAGGAACAAAAGCUGUUUGUCUGAUUUUCACCUUUCUUCCCUUUAGUACUCCCAUGAACAAGAGUUGCUGGAUGGGACAUCCAAAGAGCUUAUUUCUCCAGGAGAAAGUCUCCUUCUCUUCUCCUGUAUUUUAGAUUUAUCUUGCUUCCCCCUGAGGAUGAAGGAUUUGAAUCAUUAGUGAGACAGCAGGUGUAGGAGUGGUCACUGGUACCCACCAGCUUUGUAGCUCAGUCAUCCUGAGGACCACCUUAAGGAAAAAUUUAUCCAAGGACCCUGCAGAACAAAUAGACUUCAAUGCCCUGUAGCUGCUCCACGUGUUUGUUGACAGCCCUGGUAGUUCAGUGAAGGAGUCAGUACUGAAUUUUAGGCUGUGUCAGCCAGACUGAAGAGUUUUGUGUCUGUUUGUUCCUUGCUGGCAUGGACUGUCUGGAAGUAAAGAUACAAGACUGUUCCAUGGGGCUGAUUGAUGUUUGGUAAUUGUUAUGGCUUUCUCUUUAUAACUUGGUCAUCUAGUUUAUGGUGGAGAUAGAGCUGAGGGUACCCACUGAUGAGUGAGGAUUCUUUUGUCAGACCUUACGCUACAGUCAGACCUCUGGAAGAUUUCUCUCCAUGUAUCUCUAUCAGUUUCAGUCUGUAUGUGUUACCAAGUACCAUCUUUGCAGUGCCUAAGCUUUAUUUGACAAUCUGAGUUUCCCAUAGCCUUUUGAGGAUAACAUUUUGCAGGUUAAAAUGUGCUGAAUAAGGACAAAUGAGAAAUGCAAAAGAAGUGAAAACAGUCGGGUUUUAAAGAAAAUCAUCUUUUGUCA